UGGCGGCGUGCUUAACACAUGCAAGUCGAACGGUGAAGCCAAGCUUGCUUGGUGGAUCAGUGGCGAACGGGUGAGUAACACGUGAGCAACCUGCCCUGAACUCUGGGAUAAGCGCUGGAAACGGUGUCUAAUACUGGAUAUGAGCUGCGGAGGCAUCUUCGUGGUUGGAAAGAUUUUUCGGUUUGGGAUGGGCUCGCGGCCUAUCAGCUUGUUGGUGAGGUAAUGGCUCACCAAGGCGUCGACGGGUAGCCGGCCUGAGAGGGUGACCGGCCACACUGGGACUGAGACACGGCCCAGACUCCUACGGGAGGCAGCAGUGGGGAAUAUUGCACAAUGGGCGGAAGCCUGAUGCAGCAACGCCGCGUGAGGGAUGACGGCCUUCGGGUUGUAAACCUCUUUUAGCAGGGAAGAAGCGUGAGUGACGGUACCUGCAGAAAAAGCGCCGGCUAACUACGUGCCAGCAGCCGCGGUAAUACGUAGGGCGCAAGCGUUAUCCGGAAUUAUUGGGCGUAAAGAGCUCGUAGGCGGUUUGUCGCGUCUGCUGUGAAAACCCGAGGCUCAACCUCGGGCCUGCAGUGGGUACGGGCAGACUAGAGUGCGGUAGGGGAGAUUGGAAUUCCUGGUGUAGCGGUGGAAUGCGCAGAUAUCAGGAGGAACACCGAUGGCGAAGGCAGAUCUCUGGGCCGUAACUGACGCUGAGGAGCGAAAGGGUGGGGAGCAAACAGGCUUAGAUACCCUGGUAGUCCACCCCGUAAACGUUGGGAACUAGUUGUGGGGUCCAUUCCACGGAUUCCGUGACGCAGCUAACGCAUUAAGUUCCCCGCCUGGGGAGUACGGCCGCAAGGCUAAAACUCAAAGGAAUUGACGGGGACCCGCACAAGCGGCGGAGCAUGCGGAUUAAUUCGAUGCAACGCGAAGAACCUUACCAAGGCUUGACAUACACGAGAACGCUGCAGAAAUGUAGAACUCUUUGGACACUCGUGAACAGGUGGUGCAUGGUUGUCGUCAGCUCGUGUCGUGAGAUGUUGGGUUAAGUCCCGCAACGAGCGCAACCCUCGUUCUAUGUUGCCAGCACGUAAUGGUGGGAACUCAUGGGAUACUGCCGGGGUCAACUCGGAGGAAGGUGGGGAUGACGUCAAAUCAUCAUGCCCCUUAUGUCUUGGGCUUCACGCAUGCUACAAUGGCCGGUACAAAGGGCUGCAAUACCGCGAGGUGGAGCGAAUCCCAAAAAGCCGGUCCCAGUUCGGAUUGAGGUCUGCAACUCGACCUCAUGAAGUCGGAGUCGCUAGUAAUCGCAGAUCAGCAACGCUGCGGUGAAUACGUUCCCGGGUCUUGUACACACCGCCCGUCAAGUCAUGAAAGUCGGUAACACCUGAAGCCGGUGGCCCAACCCUUGU
RNAcentral lists this ribosomal RNA (1397 nucleotides) under Microbacterium sp. MLBP1. RNAcentral describes it as "bacterial SSU rRNA". It matches the Rfam family "Bacterial small subunit ribosomal RNA". Lineage: Bacteria; Bacillati; Actinomycetota; Actinomycetes; Micrococcales; Microbacteriaceae. The record is from RNAcentral.